UCAGUCUUUCCAUUGCAGGCAUGGAAAGGCUUAUCUUUUUGAUAGGGUGUAAGUGUUUCUUUGUUGCAUGCUCAGUUUUUGUCUCUGUAGAGUGUUGGCUAGAAAUGUUCUUCUCUUAUAAACAUUUAUGCUUGUUCAUGUUUUUGUUAAACUAAUUACUAUAUAAUUCUCUCUUUGUUGCAAUCUGUGAAAGCUAUGUAUUUAUAAGGAAUUGUGUUUAUUUUCACAAAAAGGGAAAUGAAUAGGAUUAUCUUACCUUCUACUAAAUACACAUUAAGAAGGUUUCCUUAGAA
Long non-coding RNA from Hibiscus syriacus, 293 nucleotides. RefSeq lists it as uncharacterized. The record is from RefSeq and is a predicted model, not a curated record. The transcript is spliced from 4 exons. Lineage: Eukaryota; Viridiplantae; Streptophyta; Magnoliopsida; Malvales; Malvaceae.